Molecule: long non-coding RNA, 307 nt
Organism: Vidua chalybeata
Lineage: Eukaryota; Metazoa; Chordata; Aves; Passeriformes; Viduidae
Exons: 3
Source: RefSeq, a predicted model, not a curated record
GAAAUACUGAUUUUGGGAGUGAAGAAGAGGAGUUAGCAGGGUGAAUCUCCAGGAAAUUCCAAGUGAUUUGGCUUUCUGUACUUCCAAAGCAUUCGGCAGCUCCAGUGGAGGAAAUUUCAGACGGCUGCUAUGAUGGCAUUGACCUGUGUUUGAUAGGGUUAGACAGCAUUUGGCUGAUCACUGGCCUACUAAGCUAGAGAACUGAAGCAUGAGGCAAAUGAAAAAAUAUGAAGUUCAUAAUCUAUGGAGACCUGCAUGUGUACAGCCAUAAAAGCCACAACUGCCAGCUCAGGUGGAAAAAUGUUGA